RNAcentral lists this ribosomal RNA (441 nucleotides) under uncultured bacterium. Its description in RNAcentral is "bacterial SSU rRNA". It matches the Rfam family "Bacterial small subunit ribosomal RNA", at positions 364 to 793 of the family's 1533-position model. The record is from RNAcentral.
UUGCACAAUGGGGGAAACCCUGAUGCAGCCAUGCCGCGUGUGUGAAGAAGGCCUUCGGGUUGUAAAGCACUUUCAGCGAGGAGGAAAGGUUGACCGGUUUAAUACCCGUCAGCUGUGACGUUACUCGCAGAAGAAGCACCGGCUAACUCCGUGCCAGCAGCCGCGGUAAUACGGAGGGUGCGAGCGUUAAUCGGAAUUACUGGGCGUAAAGCGCAUGCAGGCGGCCAAGUCAGUCAGAUGUGAAAGCCCCGGGCUUAACCCUGGGAAUUGCAUUUGAAACUGCUUGGCUAGAGUCCUUGAGAGGGGGUAGAAUUUCAGGUGUAGCGGUGAAAUGCGUAGAGAUCUGAAGGAAUACCAGUGGCGAAGGCGGCCCCCUGGCAAGAGACUGACGCUCAGAUGCGAAAGCGUGGGGACGCAAACAGGAUUAGACUACCCUGGUAG